GAUGAAGAACGUAGCGAAAUGCGAUAAGUAAUGCGAAUUGCAGAAUUUCCGUGAAUCAUCGAAUCUUUGAACGCACAUUGCGCCCCCUGGUAUUCCGGGGGGCAUGCCUGUUCGAGCGUCAUUUCACCACUCAAGCCUCGCUUGGUAUUGGGCAACGCGGUCCGCCGCGUGCCUCAAAUCGUCCGGCUGGGUCUUCUGUCCCCUAAGCGUUGUGGAAACUAUUCGCUAAAGGGUGUUCGGGAGGCUACGCCGUAAAACAACCCCAUUUCUAAGGUUGACCUCGGAUCAGGUAGGGAUACCCGCUGAACUUAAGCAUAUCAAUAAGCGGAGGA
This 332-nucleotide unclassified non-coding RNA is filed under the name soil metagenome. RNAcentral's name for it is "partial contains 5.8S ribosomal RNA, internal transcribed spacer 2, and large subunit ribosomal RNA". The stretch from base 1 to 121 matches the Rfam family "5.8S ribosomal RNA", at positions 35 to 154 of the family's 154-position model. The record is from RNAcentral.